AUGGAGAGCCCGGGCGGUGGCGCCGAUGCGCGCGCGCGCUCGAGGCAGUACGACUACGGCGCCAACUCCAACCUCGUCGUCAACACCGGCUCGCGCCCCCGCGACGCGCAUCACGAGCCCACCGGCGAGCCGCAGACCCUCAGCGGCAGGAUCCGCGCGAGGAGCUUCGGCGACCGCGCCGUCCGGACCAGGCCUCCCGGGCUAGAGGAGAAGCGAGGCGAGUCCCGCGGGAAGAAGGCCCGGGAUGCGGCCUCCGCCGACCUCCCCCACCGCGACGCCAAGCGCGUGCGCCGCGGCUCCGUGCGGCCCGAGGACAACGUGCUCUCGCUCGCGCACGACGCCCUCUACAAGCCCCGGACCAGGGAGACGCGCACCGCCUACGAGGCGCUGCUCAGCGUCAUCCAGCGGCAGCUCGGCGGGCAGCCCCUCGACGUGCUUGGCGAUGCCGCGGACGAGGUGCUUGCCGCUCUCAAGGACGACAGGAUCAGGAACCCUGACAAGAAGAAGGUAAUAGAGAAGCUCAUCAACCCUGUCUCGGGUCAGAUGUUCCACCAGCUCGUCUCCAUUGGGAAGCUCAUCACGGAUUUCCAUGAUUCUGCCGGUGUGCCUUCUGGUGAUGGCACAGACAUGCCAUUCGAUGAUGAUAUUGGCAUUACUGUUGAGUUCGAAGAGGAUGAGGAUGAUAAGGAGCAUAACCUUUAUCAGGUGCAAGAUGAGCUGGAUGGUGAGAAUGAAGAUGACCUUGUCGAGUUGAACGUUCCUGGAACUAUGCAAACGGGUGGUGAGUUGUAUGACGAUGAUCUGCAGAGCUGCAACAAGGAUCUGACUUUAGACGUGCAAGACAUUGAUGCUUACUGGCUUCAGAGGAAGAUAUCACAAGCAUAUGAAGAUAUCGACCCCCAGCACAGCCAGAAGCUUGCCGAGGAGAUCUUGAAGGUGAUCGCUGAGGGUGACGACAGAGAUGUUGAGAAUCGGCUUGUCACGCUGCUGGACUACAAGAAUUUUGAUCUCAUUAAAUUGCUGCUUCACAACCGACUCAAGAUAGUUUGGUGUACCUUCUUAGCCAGGGCUGAAGAUCAGGAACAGCGGAAGAAGAUAGCAGAAGAGAUGAUGAGUAACCCAAGAUUAGCUCCAAUUUUGGAGCAGCUACAUGCAACGAGAGCAUCUGCAAAGGAGAGGCAGAAGAAUCUGGAGAGAAGUAUCAGGGAUGAGGCUAAGAGGCUCCUAAAAAAUAACAGCGCUGGGACUGAUGGUGCGAGGGAUAGUAAGGCAGUUGAUAUCAAAAGUGGAUGGUUCAAAGGCCAGAGGCAGCUGCUUGAUCUUGAUAACCUUUCUUUCCACCAAGGUAGUCUCUUGAUGUCCAACAAAAAAUGUGAACUUCCUCCAGGAUCAUUUAGAACCCCUCAGAGGGGUUACGAGGAAGUCCAUGUGCCAGCCUUGCGACCUAUGCCAUAUGAAUCUGCAGAGAAGAUUGUGAAGAUAUCUGAUAUGCCAGAGUGGGCCCGACCAGCUUUUGCUGGGAUGACUCAACUUAAUAGAGUUCAGAGCAAGGUUUAUGAUACUGCCCUUUACAAACCAGAUAACAUCCUUCUCUGUGCUCCAACGGGUGCUGGGAAAACCAAUGUGGCCGUGCUUACAAUUCUUCAGCAGAUUGGUUUGCAUAUGAAGGAUGGUGAAUUUGAUAAUACAAAGUACAAAAUUGUCUAUGUGGCCCCAAUGAAAGCUUUGGUUGCUGAAGUUGUUGGAAAUUUGUCAGCGCGGCUGAAAGAGUACAAUGUCACUGUUAGUGAGCUUAGUGGAGAUCAGAACCUGACCAAACAACAGAUUGAUGAGACACAGAUAAUUGUCACUACACCUGAGAAAUGGGAUAUUGUCACAAGGAAAUCAGGUGAUAGAAUCUAUACUCAACUGGUAAAGCUUCUAAUCAUUGAUGAGAUCCAUCUACUCCAUGAUAACAGAGGGCCUGUGCUGGAGAGUAUUGUUUCUAGAACAGUACGGCAGAUUGAAAUGACCAGGGAACAUAUCCGCCUAGUUGGCCUCUCUGCAACUCUCCCAAAUUAUGAAGAUAUUGCGGUAUUCUUGCGUGUUUGCUCAGGCGGUCUCUUCCAUUUUGAUAACAGUUACCGACCUUGCCCUCUAGCUCAACAGUACAUCGGAAUCACAGCGAGGAAGCCACUGCAGAGGUUUCAGUUGAUGAAUGAGAUUUGUUAUGAGAAGGUUAUGGCUGCUGCUGGUAAGCACCAAGUGCUUAUAUUUGUGCACUCAAGGAAGGAGACAGCGCAAACUGCUCGUGCCAUCAGAGACACUGCAUUGGCUAAUGACGUGUUGGCUCGCUUUCUGAAGGAUGACAGUGCAAGUCAAGAGAUCCUUUGUGCUCAUGCAGAACUUGUCAAAAGUAGUGACCUUAAAGACCUUUUGCCAUAUGGGUUUGCUAUUCAUCAUGCUGGGUUGGCAAGGGUAGACCGUGAACUUGUUGAGAAACUUUUUGUUGAUAAGCAUAUACAGGUCCUUAUUUCGACAGCCACCCUUGCAUGGGGUGUCAAUCUACCUGCACACACUGUUAUUAUAAAGGGUACCCAGAUUUACAAUUCAGAAAAGGGCGCUUGGACAGAACUAAGUCCGCUGGAUGUCAUGCAGAUGCUUGGUCGUGCAGGCAGGCCUCAGUAUGACACACAUGGAGAGGGUAUAAUCUUAACAAGCCACAGUGAAUUGCAAUACUACCUGUCUCUUAUGAAUCAACAGCUGCCUAUUGAGAGUCAGUUUAUAUCCAAACUGGCCGAUCAGUUAAAUGCAGAGAUUGUUCUUGGAACUAUUCAGAAUGCCCAGGAGGCAUGCUCGUGGCUUGGAUACACUUACCUCUACAUCCGGAUGCUCCGGAAUCCAACAUUGUAUGGCCUACCUGAAGAUAUCAUGGAGAGAGACAGAACACUAGAUGAAAGGAGAGCUGACUUGGUACACUCAGCUGCAAAUCUAUUGGAUAGGAAUAAUUUGAAGUAUGAUAAGAGAACUGGAUACUUUCAGGCUACUGACCUAGGGAGCUAUAUUAGUCACAGGACUAUUUCAACUUACAACGAGUACCUGAAGCCUACGAUGGGUUACAUUGAGCUGUGCCAAUUGUUCUCUCUUAGUGAGGAAUUUAAGUAUGUUAGUGUCAGAAAAGAUGAGAAGAUGGAGCUGGAAAAGAUUUUGGAUCGUGUGCCGAUUCCUGUGAAAGAGAGCUUGGAGGAGCCCAGCACAAAGAUCAAUGUUCUGCUCCAAGCAUAUAUUUCUGGGCUUAAGCUAGAGGGCCUCUCCCUUGGCUCUGAUAUGGUCUAUAUCAAACAGAGUGCUGGUCGCCUCUCAAGAGCAAUAUUUGAGAUAGUUUUGAAGAGAGGAUGGUCUCAACUAGCAGAGAAGGCUCUGAAUCUUUGCACGAUGAUUGAUAAGCAGAUGUGGAGUGUCCAAACUCCUUUGCGCCAGUUUCCUGGCAUUCCAAAUGAAAUCCUGAUGAAACUGGAGAAAAAGGAAUUGGCUUGGGAGAGGUACUUUGACCUAUCAUCACAGGAAAUUGGUGAGCUGAUCCGUUAUCCCAAGAUGGGGAGGCGGUUAUACCAGUGCAUCCACCAGUUACCAAAGUUGAACCUUUCAGCCCAUGUCCAACCAAUUACUCGUACAGUUUUGGGUUUUGAGCUGACUCUUACACCUGAUUUCCAGUGGGAUGAUAAGAUACAUGGAUAUGUUGAACCUUUUUGGAUUCUUGUUGAGGACAAUGACAGCGAGUGCAUUCUUCACCAUGAAUACUUCACGCUUAAGAAACAACGACUGAAUGAAGAUCAUACACUUAAUUUCACAGUGCCAAUAUAUGAGCCAUUGCCCCCUCUGUACUUUAUACACGUCGUAUCUGACAAGUGGCUUGGAUCUCGGACAAUUCUUCCAGUCUCAUUUAGGCACUUGGUUCUUCCAGACAAACAUGCUCCACCAACCGAAUUGCUUGAUCUGCAACCACUACCUGUUACCGCACUGAGGAAUGCACGAUAUGAAGGCCUUUAUAGUGCCUGGAAACAUUUCAACCCCAUCCAGACUCAAGUGUUCAGUGUCUUGUAUAACAGUGAUCAUAGUGUUUUGGUUGCUGCUCCAACAGGCAGCGGGAAGACCAUAUGUGCGGAGUUUGCGAUACUAAGGAACCACCAAAAGGCAGUAUCUGGUGAAACCAACAUGCGAAUUGUGUAUAUAGCGCCUAUUGAAGCUCUGGCGAAAGAAAGAUACAGGGACUGGGAGAUGAAAUUUGGAGAAUUCGCCUGUGUAGUUGAGCUAACUGGUGAAACUGCACGUGAUUUGAAGCUUCUUGAUAAAGGGGAAAUUAUUAUUAGCACUCAUGAGAAGUGGGAUUCACUCUCACGCCGGUGGAAACAGAGGAAACACAUCCAACAGGUCGGUUUAUUCAUUGUCGAUGAGCUUCACCUAAUUGGAUCUGAGAAGGGACAUGUUUUGGAUAUCAUUGUUUCAAGGAUGAGGUGUAUUGCAAAUCAUACCUGCAGCAACAUCCGGAUCGUAGCGCUUUCAGCAUCACUUGCGAAUGCUAAAGAUCUCGGAGAGUGGAUUGGUGCCACCUCUCAUGGCCUUUUCAAUUUCCCUCCAGCAGUGCGGCGGUACCUUUAG
This 4638-nucleotide ribosomal RNA is filed under the name Triticum aestivum (bread wheat). Its description in RNAcentral is "partial small subunit ribosomal RNA". Lineage: Eukaryota; Viridiplantae; Streptophyta; Magnoliopsida; Poales; Poaceae. The record is from RNAcentral.